GGUCAAGUAGAAAAGGGCGCACGGUGAAUGCCUAGGCACUAAAAGCCGAUGAAGGACGUGACGAACUACGAAAAGCUUCGGGGAGCGGUAAGUACGCAGAGAUCCGGAGAUGUCCGAAUGGGGGAACC
Molecule: ribosomal RNA, 128 nt
Filed under: Lactobacillus gallinarum
Lineage: Bacteria; Bacillati; Bacillota; Bacilli; Lactobacillales; Lactobacillaceae
Description: partial 23S ribosomal RNA
Rfam family: Bacterial large subunit ribosomal RNA
Source: RNAcentral